Molecule: long non-coding RNA, 700 nt
Organism: Alexandromys fortis (reed vole)
Lineage: Eukaryota; Metazoa; Chordata; Mammalia; Rodentia; Cricetidae
Exons: 3
Source: RefSeq, a predicted model, not a curated record
AGACUCCAUGGGGAAAGAGAGCCUUCUGUUGGACACAGAUGGUGGCUCCUGAUUUCUAGGGAGAGCUACACCUCUGUGGGAGGAGGUGAGCAACUCUGCCCUGCCACACUCCUCCACCAAGCUGUUCUGGUCUCGUCCCAGGCUCAGUGUGACAGGGCCGAGCCACCACCGUUGAAACCGUGCUGGGAUUACAAGCAUGCAUCACCAAGCCUGGUUUAUACGGUGCUGGGGAUGGAGCCCAGGACUUGGUGCAAGCUAGGGGAGCACUCUGCCAACUGAGCCACGUCAGUGAUCCCAGUGCCAUGUAGCAGUGUCCUUGGAGAUUGAAACAUGCCAUCCUGCAAGGAAGUCCCUUAAAUGGGAAGGUAAAUUCAGAAUUACUUCAGGAAGUCCCUGGAACUGACCAGAUUUAUUAGGCCUCUGUCUUACAGAGAAAGCAAUAUAAACAAACUUUCAGACAGGCCAAACUGCAAAGAAGACCCUGAGAUCAGACCAGUUUCCUGGAAGAUACGAAAACCAGAUGCCUAGAAGAGGUUUAAACCAGUUAAGUCACUUAGAAAAAAGCACUUUUCAACUUGUUGAGCUGCCUGCACUCUGUGCAGUGUGCUCCAGGUUUCCAGAUGUUGUGAGCUGUCUCCCACCCUGGAAUGAACUUUGGUGAUGCUGCUGUCCUUGAGUCAUUUUUGGUCCUGUAAGUAGC